AGCAGCCGCGGUAAUUCCAGCUCCAAUAGCGUAUAUUAAAGUUGUUGCAGUUAAAAAGCUCGUAGUUGAAUUUCGGGGUUAGUGCGCUGGUCGUGCUUCGGUAUGUACUGGUGUUACUGAUUCCUACCUUCUGAAGAGCCGUUAUGUCAUUAAUUUGGUGUGGCGGGGAAUCAGGACUGUUACUUUGAAAAAUUAGAGUGUUUAAAGCAGGCUCGCGCUUGAACACAUUAGCAUGGAAUAAUGAAAUAGGACGUUGAUCCUAUUUUGUUGGUUUCUAGGAUUGACGUAAUGAUUAAUAGGGAUAGUUGGGGCAUUAGUAUUCAAUUGUCAGAGGUGAAAUUCUUGGAUUUAUUG
RNAcentral lists this ribosomal RNA (354 nucleotides) under uncultured Glomus. Its description in RNAcentral is "SSU rRNA". It matches the Rfam family "Eukaryotic small subunit ribosomal RNA", at positions 569 to 931 of the family's 1831-position model. The record is from RNAcentral. Lineage: Eukaryota; Fungi; Glomeromycota; Glomeromycetes; Glomerales; Glomeraceae.